This is a long non-coding RNA of Solea solea (common sole), 274 nucleotides long. RefSeq lists it as uncharacterized. The record is from RefSeq and is a predicted model, not a curated record. The transcript has 3 exons. Lineage: Eukaryota; Metazoa; Chordata; Actinopteri; Pleuronectiformes; Soleidae.
CAGAAACUGUUUCUGAAGGAGGAAACUUUAAAAAAAACUAAACCGGCGUGACUUUAGACGCCAAAAACUUGUUGAUAUAAAAACGUGGCAAGAACGUAGAGACUAAGAUGGCAGGGUUGACCGUUUCCAGAUUGAUGGAUAGUCAAGAAUGGUUGAUCUUCAUGAAGAUCAUCAAACUAUGUUGGACCUUAAGGACCAGAGCCCAGUAAACUACGCCUCAGUGGCUGCUACGUUACCCGACCCAACAGGACAUGGUCACAGAUCCAGCUCUAAG